Long non-coding RNA from Cyprinus carpio (common carp), 214 nucleotides. RefSeq lists it as uncharacterized. The transcript has 3 exons. The record is from RefSeq and is a predicted model, not a curated record. Lineage: Eukaryota; Metazoa; Chordata; Actinopteri; Cypriniformes; Cyprinidae.
AUAAACUUGACAUCAAGUAAAGUAUAAAAGCAGGGCUCUUUCUGGAACUUCACAAAAUCAUCUUCUAAGAUUCUGAAGGCAACGAUCUGAAAAUCAAGGUUCAUCAUGGCAAUGCUGAGAAGUCUGCUGCUUGUUUUUAUUGUGUUCUCCAUGGGGAAUGCAGAAGUUGAAAUAGUUGAAAAAUGCCCCUUUUGUUGGUAAUAUUUUGGUGUCA